This 253-nucleotide ribosomal RNA is filed under the name uncultured bacterium. RNAcentral's name for it is "partial 16S ribosomal RNA". It matches the Rfam family "Bacterial small subunit ribosomal RNA", at positions 524 to 776 of the family's 1533-position model. The record is from RNAcentral.
GACAGAGGUGCCGAGCGUUAGGCGGAAUCACUGGGCUUAAAGCGUGUGUAGGCGGUCCGUUAAGUACCUUGUGAAAUCCCCCGGCUCAACCGGGGAACGGCUGGGUAUACUGGCGGUCUUGAGCCAUCCAGGGGCAGUCGGAACAGACGGUGGAGCGGUGAAAUGCGUAGAUAUCGUCUGGAACGCCGAAGGUGAAAACAGACUGCUGGGGAUGCGCUGACGCUGAGACACGAAAGCCAGGGGAGCGAACGGG